UAGGGAAUCUUCGGCAAUGGGGGGAACCCUGACCGAGCAACGCCGCGUGAGUGAAGAAGGUUUUCGGAUCGUAAAGCUCUGUUGUUAAGGAAGAACGAGUGUGAGAAUGGAAAGUUCAUGCUGUGACGGUACUUAACCAGAAAGGGACGGCUAACUACGUGCCAGCAGCCGCGGUAAUACGUAGGUCCCGAGCGUUGUCCGGAUUUAUUGGGCGUAAAGCGAGCGCAGGCGGUUAGAAAAGUCUGAAGUGAAAGGCAGUGGCUCAACCAUUGUAGGCUUUGGAAACUGUUUAACUUGAGUGCAGAAGGGGAGAGUGGAAUUCCAUGUGUAGCGGUGAAAUGCGUGGAUAUAUGGAGGAACACCGGUGGCGAAGGCGGCUCUCUGGUCUGUAACUGACGCUGAGGCUCGAAAGCGUGGGGAGCGAACAGG
Molecule: ribosomal RNA, 429 nt
Filed under: Bacteroidota bacterium
Lineage: Bacteria; Pseudomonadati; Bacteroidota
Description: Bacteroidetes bacterium partial 16S ribosomal RNA
Rfam family: Bacterial small subunit ribosomal RNA
Source: RNAcentral